AUGUUGCCCAGCUGGUCUCAAACUACUGGCUUCAAGUCAUACCUCCAUUUCAGCCUCCCAAAUUUCUGGGAUUACAGGUGUGAGCCACAGUGCCUGGUUCCUGCUUAUUCCUUUCUUAUUUUCUUCCUUUAUUUCUUUUUUACACAGAUACUCAUGAAGACUUACAAUGUGCCAUUUCCCCGUGAAUAUUUCGGAAUACUCUUUCCUACACAGAGAGUUUUAAAACUCAUCCAAACAGUUGAAGACACUCUCAAGGAAUUACAGCAAAAGAUUACAGCUGACAAGUUGACUCUGAAAUAUCACAUGCCAUAAUAUGGUCCUACUUACUGCAAGCAACUGGACACAGUUCAUAUUGCUGGAAGUCUGUCCUUCAUACCUGAGGAAAGUUAUGUGAAGAGCCUUUUAAGACAAAAAGAGGAAACAGAAGACUUGAGCAAUACUACAAAUCAACAAGAUUUAACUGAUACAGAGCAUUCCACCCAAAAACAGCAGAAACUUACUUUCCCAAUGUAUAUUAAACAUUACUCAGGAUAGGACACAUGAAGAUUAUAAAACAAGUUUCAACAAAAUUUUAUAGUUUGAAAUCAUAAGAAGUGUCUUCUCUA
This 605-nucleotide long non-coding RNA is filed under the name Papio anubis (olive baboon). RNAcentral's name for it is "lncRNA (ENSPANG00000048003.1)". The record is from RNAcentral. Lineage: Eukaryota; Metazoa; Chordata; Mammalia; Primates; Cercopithecidae.